CUCAAUUGUCAAAAAGAAUAUGAAAAUGUUAAUAAAGUAAAUUUUAGAGUUCUAAGAACUUAUCCAAAUGAUUCUAUGAAGCUUGUUUUCAAGAAAGACUAUCGAUGCCAUCGCAAUACUCAGGCUAAUUUGCCUUCAUCAAAGACAAAAAAUCCGUCAUCUAAACAUGUUAACUGUCAGGCAUUCUUAAGAAUUACAGUGAAACAAUCAAGUAUGAAAAGGUAAAGUCUAUUUGCUAAUCUGAGACACAACUACUGUCUAGUGACGUUGGUAAUUUUUUUUGAGAAGUUGGUUGCUAGACGUAACUGGAAAAGACUACACAACCAAACAUAACUACUCAUAGCCAAUAUUAUUAUUAACAGUAAACAGGCAUAAAUAACAUAACAUACACCAUACACCAAUCAAUAAUUAUUUAUUUACACCUUUAUAAUGUAUUGAUAACAGAUGAGAGAAGUAUUUAUUGUACAAAAUAAAAAUAUUUUAUAGAAAUAAAUUCCACAAAAUUUUA
Diabrotica virgifera virgifera (western corn rootworm) is the source of this 508-nucleotide long non-coding RNA. RefSeq lists it as uncharacterized. The transcript is spliced from 2 exons. The record is from RefSeq and is a predicted model, not a curated record. Lineage: Eukaryota; Metazoa; Arthropoda; Insecta; Coleoptera; Chrysomelidae.